AGGCUGCAACUCGCCUGCAUNAAGUCGGAAUUGCUAGUAAUCGUAGGUCAGCAUACUACGGUGAAUACGUUCCCGGGCCUUGUACACACCGCCCGUCAAACCAUGAGAGUUGGCAACACCCGAAGUCGGUAGUCUAACCGCAAGGAGGACGCCGCCGAAGGUGGGGUUGAUGAUUAGGGUUAAGUCGUAACAAGGUACC
RNAcentral lists this ribosomal RNA (199 nucleotides) under uncultured bacterium. RNAcentral's name for it is "partial 16S ribosomal RNA". It matches the Rfam family "Bacterial small subunit ribosomal RNA", at positions 1302 to 1500 of the family's 1533-position model. The record is from RNAcentral.